This 402-nucleotide long non-coding RNA is filed under the name Catharus ustulatus (Swainson's thrush). RNAcentral's name for it is "lncRNA (ENSCUSG00005003998.1)". Lineage: Eukaryota; Metazoa; Chordata; Aves; Passeriformes; Turdidae. The record is from RNAcentral.
CCGCCAUGUCGCGCACCGCGGGCUGCUGGCAGGGCGGGGAGCGCACGGAGCUGCCUCUCUGGAACCGGACCGGGCCGGAGUUUAGGAGGAAGAAACUUCAUUAAGAUAAUCGGCUGCUGAAGUCUGAAGAAAUCAAUCAGUGCACACAUUUGUUUCACUUUUCAUCAGGUAGCUCUCAUUCAGCUAUGACAAGUCAUCACCUCAGUCACACAGAAUGCCACCAGGGUCCAAGAGACCUGAAUCACUUCGCUCCAGCAAAUAUUGGCUAUCAGCCACACUGGCUCCCAGUUGGUCUUGAGAAGACCUGGCCUCCAGAGCCAUUUCCUCCUUUGAAAGGAUGAAUGUGUUCCUACCUUGUGUGAGUCUUGAGUGGAACUGAUUACUUCUUUUUGUCUGAACUGG